This 371-nucleotide unclassified non-coding RNA is filed under the name soil metagenome. Its description in RNAcentral is "partial contains 5.8S ribosomal RNA, internal transcribed spacer 2, and large subunit ribosomal RNA". The stretch from base 1 to 120 matches the Rfam family "5.8S ribosomal RNA", at positions 35 to 154 of the family's 154-position model. The record is from RNAcentral.
GAUGAAGAACGCAGCAAAAUGCGAUAAGUAGUGUGAAUUGCAGAAUUCAGUGAAUCAUCGAAUCUUUGAACGCACAUUGCGCCCCUUGGUAUUCCAUGGGGCAUGCCUGUUCGAGCGUCAUUGACACCCUCAAGCCCCUUUGGCUUGGUGUUGGAGACUGGCGGGGCGCAUGCGCCCGGAGCCACUCCCAAAUACAAUGACGGCGGCGACGAUGACCCCCGGUACACUGAGCUUCUCACCGAGCACGUGCUGGAAGGGUCUUGUGGCCACGGUCUGCCUCCCCUCUGGGAGAAACGGAUUUCAUCCACCAAGGUUGACCUCGGAUCAGGUAGGGAUACCCGCUGAACUUAAGCAUAUCAAUAAGCGGAGGA